This 300-nucleotide ribosomal RNA is filed under the name uncultured Bacillus sp. RNAcentral's name for it is "bacterial SSU rRNA". It matches the Rfam family "Bacterial small subunit ribosomal RNA", at positions 495 to 794 of the family's 1533-position model. The record is from RNAcentral. Lineage: Bacteria; Bacillati; Bacillota; Bacilli; Caryophanales; Bacillaceae.
UGGCAGCUGUGUGCCAGCAGCGUGGGUAAGAAGUAGGUGGCAGAGGGUGUGCCGAAUGGUUUGGCGUAAAGGGCGCGCAGGCGGUCCUUUAAGUCUGGUGUGAAAGCCCAGGGCUCAAACGUGGAGGGCCAUUGGAAACUGGGGGACUUGAGUACAGAAGGGGAAAGCGGGAUUCCACGUGUAGCGGUGAAAUGCGUAGAGAUGUGGAGGAACACCAGUGGCGAAGGCGGCUUUCUGGUCUGUAACUGACGCUGAGGCGCGAAAGCGUGGGGAGCAAACAGGAUUAGAUACCCCAGUAGC